Bombus pyrosoma is the source of this 727-nucleotide long non-coding RNA. RefSeq lists it as uncharacterized. The record is from RefSeq and is a predicted model, not a curated record. The transcript is spliced from 4 exons. NCBI's taxonomy places the organism in Eukaryota, Metazoa, Arthropoda, Insecta, Hymenoptera, Apidae.
GUUUACUAUUCAGUUGCACAAAUAUACAGGAUUAGUGCCAACAGCGAACGUUAGGAUUGUGGUUUCAGAGAAAUCGGCUCUAUUUGCAGUUAGAGGUCAACAUGUGAUUCGCAUUCAUAGAACUCCCUUUUAUAGAUUACUCGGAUGUGUCAAUAAUAUUUAAUUGCAUUCCAAAUGUCCAAUGGGAAGAGAACAUGAAAAGUGGGCUGUUAGAGGAACAUUCUUCUUAACAUUAUACCGAUAUGCUAAUAUUCUCAAACGUAUGAAGUGGGAAAUGGAGAAGAAAAUAAAUUAUAUUUAAGAAUAAAAGUUGAUAACCUUUUGUUGGAAAGGCAUCCAUGUAAGCAUAUUCUUAAGAUUAUUGUCGACACUAUGACGUGUUCUAUAUGGGAAGCUGAUAUGGUUCUUCAGUGGAUGCAAUUUUUGCUGUUAGAUCAAUUAUCUGGGAUAAACUCUGGAUGAUGUUCGAUCAUUUCCCUUUGCUCGGGACUUACGUAUUGAGAAAAUCUCAAAAAAUAGGUUAAAUAUUCCUGUUUAUCGUCUGUCCACAGCCACGAGUAGAUUUCGUAUACCUGUGGAUAAUAAUUUGAGUUUCUUCCAACAUAAACACGAUGCCUUCCUCUUCGGCAACGUCGAGCUUCGACGAUGAAAAUACAAUUAGUAGUUUGUAUCGAACGAAAAAUUAGUCGACUAUUAAUAUUAUCAAAAAUUGUUCUAUUGAAAAUUG